RNAcentral lists this unclassified non-coding RNA (4695 nucleotides) under Haliotis rufescens (red abalone). RNAcentral's name for it is "uncharacterized LOC124152020, transcript variant X4". The record is from RNAcentral. Lineage: Eukaryota; Metazoa; Mollusca; Gastropoda; Lepetellida; Haliotidae.
CUUUUACAUGUUACAUGUUUUAAUAUGAUUAUUUAUUUUGACCUACAAUAAUUACAAAUUCUAGAUAUAUCCAGCGAAAACAAAAUUCGCAUUGCAAUAAAAGCAACAAUAAACGCAUUGGACUGCGGUUUUCAGGCAACAAACACACUACUAUUUUAUGCAAGUUGUCAGAAUACAUCGUGCUCCCGACACGGUAAGACAUGCUUGUCAAUUCCUCGAACACCUGGCGUCAUCACUGAUUUUCAGUGAUCCAUUCAUAUAAUUUUCACCACUAUUUUGCCUUGUACUCCCAAUGGAAUCUGUUUCGUCGGGUAAUCAAGAUGGGUUAUUCCCUGACGUCAACGUUUUACAUUUGCGCAGUUUUAUUAUCCAUGUAUGAUGAUAGUGAGUGAGUGAGUAUGGUUUUACGCCGCUUUUAGCAAUAUUCCAGCAAUAUCACGGCGGGGGACACCAGAAAUGGGCUUCACACAUUUGUAUGAUGAUAACUGGUGAAUGGGUUAAGAAACGUUUACAAGCAAACAGAGACUCUAACUGAAUAUCCCGCCUGAUCACAUCAUACAGUGUUUACUUUCUGGUGAUGUACUCAAUGACAUCAAUGUGCACAGACCCGGACAUAGAAACAAAGACAAGGCGAUAAAUGUAUCGGUGACAUGGUACUCGACGCAUGACGGCGGGCUUUUUCAAAUAAAGAGGUCAUGCAAAUGGGGAAUCAUGAAAGACUGCCAAAGAGAUUAUUAUUACAAUGCUGACACCAGAGACUGUCAAAGCUGUGCCCAUCUGUGCCACCAGGCUGAGGUACGAGGGACGUUGCAGAAGUGUGGAGACUUAUGUCCGGUUCCGGUUACAAACCAGUUCCCACACCGAACUACGGAGAACAUGAAGACAACUGUCACGAUAAGGAUUCCAGAUGGUGUAACUGUGCACGAUGGUUCCCCUCAUGUUGUUGUCGUGGUCUGUCUGAUGUCAGUUGUCCUGACCUUCCUGGUGGUACUGAUGGUAGCUGUUGCCAUUGCCUGGGGAAGGAGAAAGAAAAAGCAACAGAGACAAAGAAUAACAGUUAACUACCGACACAGGGAUACAACCGAAGAUGACACAGAAGAAGCCUUUAGAGAAGAGCCAACCUCCAAUAUCAGCAUGUUGUCAUGAUAAUUUAUCAUCUUCUAACAAGGUGGUGUCUCUUUAACAUGGGCAUGUAUAGUACAAUCAUGAUGAUUUAAUAUCAUUCAGCAAGUGUUUUAAUUACCAAACCUUAUCAUUCAUCAUUUUCUGUCAGUGUAUGUCCAUAAACAUCUUUAUUCUGAGAUAUACGUCCAUCAUAUAGCAAUGUAAAUAUCGCCAUCAUUAUUCAACUGUUUGAAUCAAUGUUUUUCAAUGUUCUUUUUUAACAUUUAUAAUAAAAUGGUAAUCAUGCAAAGUACUUUAUGAAUGUCAUUUAGACUUUUGUGUACAAUACUGCAAUAAACAUUCAACAGCAUUUAUCAUCUAUUUAUUUUGCUGUGUUCAUCUUCAACAUUUAUAUUAAUGUCAUAUCUUUCAACACAUUGCUGGCAAUCUUCAAAAUGUUACAUGUGUACUUCAUCAUGAAAAAAAACUGCAAUUAUCAACAAAUGAUCAUCAUGAUAGAAAAAGUUUUUAGAUGUGUGUGGAAUAAUAAAUACAAAUAAAAGCUUAUCAGUUGCAAACAUGUGUAUGUCAUUUAUUAACUGUGCAAACUGUUUUGUGAUAGUAUUUAUGUAAAUUUAUGAAAAUUAUAUUGUAGUUUCUUGAUUUAGGUGAACUUUCGGACAAGUGUGCCUCUGUCAAAACACAUUGCAUGGGCAAUGAAAACGUGUGACGGAAACGGCAAAAAACUACUUUGAACACUUGACAAUUAUAUGGACCAUUACAAGGGUCUUCACGAUCGUUGUCAUCCAGAUUGCAUAUAUAGGCAAGAAGAACACUUUCACCAGACUAAAACUGCUUUGAGACUUCUAACGUUGGAACGUCAGAGAGGACUGAACCAAGACGUAGUACACCAGUCCUUACCACGUCAAAUCAAGCAUUGACCUCACAGAGAAUGAGAAAAGAUCGUAUUGUUGUACCAAGAGAAGGAAGUGAUGGGAAUUUGCUCAAAAGAUUUUUACUGGGAAGCAGUCUCUGGCACCUGUCAGCCUUGUGAUGAACUCUGCCACCAAGCCGAUGUCAGGGGGACAGGCGCACGCUGUAGAAAACUGUGUCCAGUGUCGCUGCCGGAGCCUGUGACAGCUUUAUUGAAUGCUCCAACUGCAACAACGUCUGCAACUCUACUAUCAGACGAUACCUCAAGUAGUGAACGAUAUGGGUAUGGGGCGGCAGAAUAUGCUGUCGUUAUACUGGCUGUGAGCAUCCUCCUGAUUUCUCUGGUGUCCUCGGCAGUUUUGUUCAGAAGAGAAAUAUAUUUGAUCUUUUACAGGCUAAAAGUAAAGUACUGUCAACGUUGUAAACCCAGUUCAAAUCUGAGAAGACAAGUAUAAUAGUUUGCGUCUGUUCGAUUUUAUCCUAUUUUUCUUCAUUACUGCCAUUCUUAUUUUAAGCCCAUUUAUCAAAAUCAGAGAAUGUUUCCUCGUUUUCAAGUCCGUAUUCUAUCUCCUAAGAUGACCCAAAUCUGAAACUAUAGUAGAGACACAUUUUUUCGAUUGUUCAAACAGACACACCAGCACGAAUGUUAAUUAGAACAUGAAAUGUAUAACAAAUGUAAAUAUGAAUGUAUUCUAUCAUAUUGUAUCUUCAGGCUUCAUUUCCCAAUCAAUUGAAAAUAAUUAUUACUAUUUUCAAGCAGUUCUGAAAAUGUAUUUUCGAUUAGUGUAAUAUAGCUAAAUUAAAGAAAAUUAGUUAUCAGAUUUUUCAGAUUUGAUCAUUUCAUAUAAAAUAAAUUGGAUGUCAAUUUGCGUUGCGUUUUAUUACUUACUGUAAAGGAGGGUCAAUGAACAUGAUGGCGAGUUAAUCAAAUUUAAACCCAUGUUCAUAAAUGCUUGGAGUGUUUAUUCCACUUAACUUGUUGAUAUUAAAUUUACGAUAAAAUCUAUAAAAUGACGAUGUGAUUUUGCAACGUGUGUAUUGAGGUUUCACGCGAAAAAAGUAGACCCAGUCGGAAGAAGCAAUAAAUGGAAUGAAUCGAUAUCGACUGCAGGGUACAUUCAGUCUGCAGUCUUGCUCUAUGUAAAUUGCAAACAAGCGCAAAGGCGCACAAACAAAGACCUGUCAUAUUUGUGAAGAGUAUUGUUUAUUUUUAAAGCUGCGAACAGAAAGUUACAUGGGUGUAUAAUAAUAUUUAUGUGAACAGUUCAUCAUAUCCCAGAAUGUAUACAAUGUGACAAUUUAAUAUUUAAAUGAAGAUACAUGUUGCUCGUAAAUAUAAAGUUAUCUAAUAGUAUUAAGUCCAAAUGCCCAAGUUGAUUUUACAAAGUUUUGAUAGAUAUAUUAAUUGACCUCUCCAAAAAAUCUCGGAAGCGAGAUUUUGGGAAUUCCCAUUUACGUCACAGUCCGGUCAUGUGACCUAAUAUUUGUGGUGGCGUGAUCCAUAUAGGUCAUCUGCCACAAAGGUCAUCCGCCAUAGUGAGAUCCAGGGUAUAAAAUAGGGAAUGUUUCUAUCAACGAUUUAGAAUGGUCUGCCCCACCACCAAAUCCUGGAGGGUCACUACAGACCCCCUAAAUCAGUACUGGGGUGACGUAACACUGGAAAGAAGACUUGAUUUGGAUAGAGUUUAUCACUCUCAUGUCCGACUCAGUCGAAACAGAUGUUUGGAGGGUGUUGGUUAAACCUCAUACGAACAUAGUACGAUUCCUUUUGGCAUCUGUGUUACUAUGUCUAGUAGCAGGGAAGCCGAUAUGUGAAGGGGGGACAUACUAUGACAUCGUUACCGACAAUUGUGACCCUUGUAGUCAUAUAUGUGACUAUUCCGAGGCACAGAAGACAACAACAGAAUGCGAAACUAAGUGUCCAGAAUAUGGUAAGAGAGGAUCUCUCCAUCAACCAGGGAGCGUGAUAAUGAAAAUCUAUUUUCCGUCUAGAAUAUGGUAAGAGAGUAUAUCUCCAUCAACCAGGGAGCAUGAUUAUGAAAAUCUAUUUUCCUUCUAGAAUAUGGUAAGAGAGGAUCUCUCCAUCAACCAGGGAGCGUGAUUAUGAAAAUCUAUUUUCCUUCUAGAAUAUGGUAAGAGAGGAUCUCUCCAUCAACAGAAAUGCCCCUAUCUACAAUAUUAUGACGACGUUGUGUCCCGAUGUGACUCCUGUGAGAGCAUCUGCCUCCAUGCUGGACCACAGGAUCCGGGCCAUCAAGAAACAUGUCGACGUCUCUGCCCUGAAUGGCCUGGUUAUAGCAUUACAACUGUGUCUCCACAAGAUUCCACCAUGAAAAAUCCUCAGAAUAAAUCACUCGCCAAAGACAAUCUGCCUUAUACAUUGGGCAGCAACGUUAUCAUCAUACUGGCGACGUGUGUCAUAGCGGUUGCUGUUGUUGGCCUUCUGUGUGUGGGCGUGAUAAGGAGGAAGAAGUCUUUCUGUCAGCGACAGCAUCAUCCAAAACCAACACCAGAACUCUUGACUGGCGAAGGAAACCCUCUCACUCAGCCCGAGGAUGACAAACAGUUUCAAGGAAGAUAGUUCAUGCUACAUAGAUCUUAUCAAAACAAUGUUAUGUCAACAUGUAUUUUAAUGUAAUAAAUAUAUCUUAAUAUUAA